Molecule: ribosomal RNA, 253 nt
Filed under: uncultured bacterium
Lineage: Bacteria
Description: partial 16S ribosomal RNA
Rfam family: Bacterial small subunit ribosomal RNA
Source: RNAcentral
UACGGGGGGGGCAAGCGUUGUUCGGAAUUACUGGGCGUAAAGGGCUCGUAGGCGGUCAACUAAGUCAUACGUGAAAUCCCUCGGCUUAACCGGGGAACUGCGUCUGAUACUGGAUGGCUUGAGUUCGGGAGAGGGAUGCGGAAUUCCAGGUGUAGCGGUGAAAUGCGUAGAUAUCGGGAGGAACACCUAUGGCGAAGGCAGCUCGCUGGGACGGUACUGACGCUGAGACGCGAAAGCGUGGGGAGCAAACAGG